GAUGAACGCUGGCGGUCUGCUUAACACAUGCAAGUCGAACGGGGUAGAAGAUUAGUGGCGGACGGGUGAGUAACGCGUGAGAAUCUGCCUCCAGGUGGGGACAACCAUUGGAAACGAUGGCUAAUACCGGAUGAGCCCUGGGUAAAAGAGAAAUGCCUGGAGAAGAGCUCGCGUCUGAUUAGCUAGUUGGUGGGUAAAGCCACCAAGGCAGCGAUCAGUAGCUGGUCUGAGAGGAUGACCAGCCACACUGGGACUGAGACACGGCCCAGACUCCUACGGGAGGCAGCAGUGGGGAAUUUUCCGCAAUGGGCGAAAGCCUGACGGAGCAAACCGCGUGAGGGAGGAAGGCUCUUGGGUUGUAAACCUCUUUUCUUGGGGAAGUGACGGUACCCAAGGAAUCAGCAUCGGCUAACUCCGUGCCAGCAGCCGCGGUAAUACGGAGGAUGCAAGCGUUAUCCGGAAUUAUUGGGCGUAAAGCGUCCGCAGGUGGCCGAUAAGUCUGUUGUUAAAGUGGGCUUAACCCAUAUCGGCAAUGGAAACUGGGCUAGAGUUGGUAGGGGUCAGGGGAAUUCCCAGUGUAGCGGUGAAAUGCGUAGAUAUUGGGAAGAACACCGGUGGCGAAAGCGCCUGACUGGGCCAAACUGACACUCAUGGACGAAAGCUAGGGGAGCGAAAGGGAUUAGAUACCCCUGUAGUCCUAGCCGUAAACGAUGGACACUAGGUGUUGCCGUAUCGACCCGGCGGUGCCGUAGCUAACGCGUUAAGUGUCCCGCCUGGGGAGUACGCACGCAAGUGUGAAACUCAAAGGAAUUGACGGGGGCCCGCACAAGCGGUGGAGUAUGUGGUUUAAUUCGAUGCAACGCGAAGAACCUUACCAGGAUUUGACAUCCCGCGAAUUCCUGAAAGGGAAAUGCCUUCGGGAGCGCGGAGACAGGUGGUGCAUGGCUGUCGUCAGCUCGUGUCGUGAGAUGUUGGGUUAAGUCCCGCAACGAGCGCAACCCACGUUUUUAGUUGCCAUCAUUUAGUUGGGCACUCUAGAGAGACUGCCGGUGACAAACCGGAGGAAGGUGUGGAUGACGUCAAGUCAGCAUGCCCCUUACGUUCUGGGCUACACACGUACUACAAUGCUUGGACAGAGGGUCGCAGCGCGAGUCAGCUAAUCCCGUAAACCAGGCUCAGUUCAGAUUGCAGGCUGCAACUCGCCUGCAUGAAGGCGGAAUCGCUAGUAAUCGCCGGUCAGCAUACGGCGGUGAAUACGUUCCCGGGCCUUGUACACACCGCCCGUCACACCAUGGGAGUUGGUCACGCCCGAAGUGGUUACCCUAACCGUGGAGGGGGACCCCUAAGGCAGGGCUGAUGACUGGGGUGAA
RNAcentral lists this ribosomal RNA (1370 nucleotides) under uncultured Chroococcales cyanobacterium. RNAcentral describes it as "bacterial SSU rRNA". It matches the Rfam family "Bacterial small subunit ribosomal RNA". Lineage: Bacteria; Bacillati; Cyanobacteriota; Cyanophyceae; Chroococcales. The record is from RNAcentral.